GACCUACGGGGGGCAGCAGUGGGGAAUAUUGGACAAUGGGCGAAAGCCUGAUCCAGCCAUGCCGCGUGUGUGAAGAAGGUCUUCGGAUUGUAAAGCACUUUAAGUUGGGAGGAAGGGCAGUUACCUAAUACGUGAUUGUUUUGACGUUACCGACAGAAUAAGCACCGGCUAACUCUGUGCCAGCAGCCGCGGUAAUACAGAGGGUGCAAGCGUUAAUCGGAAUUACUGGGCGUAAAGCGCGCGUAGGUGGUUGGUUAAGUUGGAUGUGAAAUCCCCGGGCUCAACCUGGGAACUGCAUUCAAAACUGACUGACUAGAGUAUGGUAGAGGGUGGUGGAAUUUCCUGUGUAGCGGUGAAAUGCGUAGAUAUAGGAAGGAACACCAGUGGCGAAGGCGACCACCUGGACUGAUACUGACACUGAGGUGCGAAAGCGUGGGGAGCAAACAGGAUUAGAUACCCUUGUAGUCU
RNAcentral lists this ribosomal RNA (468 nucleotides) under uncultured Pseudomonadaceae bacterium. RNAcentral describes it as "bacterial SSU rRNA". It matches the Rfam family "Bacterial small subunit ribosomal RNA", at positions 334 to 796 of the family's 1533-position model. The record is from RNAcentral. Lineage: Bacteria; Pseudomonadati; Pseudomonadota; Gammaproteobacteria; Pseudomonadales; Pseudomonadaceae.